RNAcentral lists this ribosomal RNA (497 nucleotides) under uncultured bacterium. Its description in RNAcentral is "partial 16S ribosomal RNA". It matches the Rfam family "Bacterial small subunit ribosomal RNA", at positions 28 to 507 of the family's 1533-position model. The record is from RNAcentral.
GAUGAACGCUGGCGGCGUGCCUAAUACAUGCAAGUCGAGCGAACAGACGAGGAGCUUGCUCCUCUGACGUUAGCGGCGGACGGGUGAGUAACACGUGGAUAACCUACCUAUAAGACUGGGAUAACUUCGGGAAACCGGAGCUAAUACCGGAUAACAUAUUGAACCGCAUGGUUCAAUAGUGAAAGACGGUUUUGCUGUCACUUAUAGAUGGAUCCGCGCCGCAUUAGCUAGUUGGUAAGGUAACGGCUUACCAAGGCAACGAUGCGUAGCCGACCUGAGAGGGUGAUCGGCCACACUGGAACUGAGACACGGUCCAGACUCCUACGGGAGGCAGCAGUAGGGAAUCUUCCGCAAUGGGCGAAAGCCUGACGGAGCAACGCCGCGUGAGUGAAGAAGGUCUUCGGAUCGUAAAACUCUGUUAUUAGGGAAGAACAAAUGUGUAAGUAACUAUGCACGUCUUGACGGUACCUAAUCAGAAAGCCACGGCUAACUACGUG